AAAUCCCCUCUGAGCAGAAGUUUGGAGCAGUGUUGGUGGGUCAGCAGUUUGAGGUCGGCAGUAGCUUGCAUAAAGCAAAACUCAUAAACAAGCCGGAUGUGACUGCUUUCAGAAAUGUAUUAGAACGUUGACUGAGCUGAAAUGGAACAACUUCCUUGGAGAAAAGUCAAAGAUUGCUAGAGUUUGAAGUUUUGAUGAUCACAUUCCAGUAGACUCAUGUCUCCACCCUGCCGGGUUUCUGCUUUUCCCAACGACAGCAGUAGAGUUCUGCCCUUUUAUCUUCCCUGAAACUUCAGAACUGAUUGAGUACGUGUGAUGUUUGUAAGCCGUUGUGUAACAUCCAAAUGGAGCAAUAUCUUCAAGCUGAGUACAAGACCUUGCAAGCUCAGUCAACAAUACCAAGAAGUUGACCUGGAUAAGAUAAUUUUGUCAGUUGGGGGUAGAUCCGGAAGACCUGGCAGCAUCUUCAUCCUUGGGGUGCAGGGGGCUGAGUGAGACAGGACAGAGAUUCCGUGGAGAGGACAGGCUAUCUUUAGACACAAAGCUUUGAACAAAACACAAAACCCCCAAACACUGAAAUUUUGGAAAUCAGAUGACUUCUGAUCAGUUGCUUGUUUUUCAGUCAUGCCUGUGUCUAAGUGAAUGCAAACUGUGGAAGUGAAAGUUAACAAAGAAAAUGGAUUGGCUGGCAAACUGCUACGAAUAUUCAUAGAGUACUUUGCUAUAUUGAAAUUAUUUCAGCUAGAAAAUAUAAUGGCUGCAAUUAUUUUGGAAAUAUGUUUGGCAGAGAAACUUGGAGUGGAAACACAAUAAAGUUAAUAUUCCUUUCG
This is a long non-coding RNA of Pygoscelis adeliae (Adelie penguin), 830 nucleotides long. RefSeq lists it as uncharacterized. The transcript has 2 exons. The record is from RefSeq and is a predicted model, not a curated record. NCBI's taxonomy places the organism in Eukaryota, Metazoa, Chordata, Aves, Sphenisciformes, Spheniscidae.